UGGGGAAUAUUGGACAAUGGGCGAAAGCCUGAUCCAGCCAUGCCGCGUGUGUGAAGAAGGUCUUCGGAUUGUAAAGCACUUUAAGUUGGGAGGAAGGGCAGUAAGUUAAUACCUUGCUGUUUUGACGUUACCAACAGAAUAAGCACCGGCUAACUUCGUGCCAGCAGCCGCGGUAAUACGAAGGGUGCAAGCGUUAAUCGGAAUUACUGGGCGUAAAGCGCGCGUAGGUGGUUUGGUAAGAUGGAUGUGAAAUCCCCGGGCUCAACCUGGGAACUGCAUCCAUAACUGCCUGACUAGAGUACGGUAGAGNGUGGUGGAAUUUCCUGUGUAGCGGUGAAAUGCGUAGAUAUAGGAAGGAACACCAGUGGCGAAGGCGACCACCUGGACUGAUACUGACACUGAGGUGCGAAAGCGUGGGGAGCAAACA
Molecule: ribosomal RNA, 427 nt
Filed under: uncultured bacterium
Lineage: Bacteria
Description: bacterial SSU rRNA
Rfam family: Bacterial small subunit ribosomal RNA
Source: RNAcentral